Molecule: ribosomal RNA, 416 nt
Filed under: uncultured bacterium
Lineage: Bacteria
Description: bacterial SSU rRNA
Rfam family: Bacterial small subunit ribosomal RNA
Source: RNAcentral
GACGAACGCUGGCGGCGCGCCUAACACAUGCAAGUCGAACGAGAGAGAAGAAGCUUGCUUCUUCGAUCGAGUGGCGAACGGGUGAGUAACGCGUGAGGAACCUGCCUCAAAGAGGGGGACAACAGUUGGAAACGACUGCUAAUACCGCAUAAGCCCACGGGUCGGCAUCGACCAGAGGGAAAAGGAGCAAUCCGCUUUGAGAUGGCCUCGCGUCCGAUUAGCUAGUUGGUGAGGUAAUGGCCCACCAAGGCGACGAUCGGUAGCCGGACUGAGAGGCUGAACGGCCACAUUGGGACUGAGACACGGCCCAGACUCCUACGGGAGGCAGCAGUGGGGAAUAUUGCACAAUGGGGGAAACCCUGAUGCAGCGACGCCGCGUGGAGGAAGAAGGUCUUCGGAUUGUAAACUCCUGUUGU